Long non-coding RNA from Chrysolophus pictus (golden pheasant), 1621 nucleotides. NCBI's taxonomy places the organism in Eukaryota, Metazoa, Chordata, Aves, Galliformes, Phasianidae. The record is from Ensembl.
CCCUGCUCACAUCCAUGCGUUAGAGGCUUCUUCUCUUAUUAUUAUUAUUAUUUUUUUUUUGUAUGAUGAUGAUUCGUUUUGUUUUCUACCCUACGGAUCACCCGAUCGCCACAGCAGCAAUCAGACCCUGCCAGCUGUGCCCUGUUGUCCCCAUUCAUCCCUUUUGGGGUGGGGUGGGGGACCCGAGGCUCAGCCCAACCCCCGUCAGCCUUCACCCCUCCAUCCCUUUUCCCUUCCUAAAGCUCCGGGCCCUUUCCUGGGAGCUGCUCUUUUAUGCAUUUUGUAUUGUCCACUCUCGAUGCUGGGGAGGGGGAGGGGAUGCAGCAGAACUUGGGGGGGGGAUUUUUUUUAGGCAGCCUGCUCAUGGGAAAGGGUCCCCAUCCAUCCCCCCCUCCUGCUCACCGUCCCACUGCAUGAGUUCCCCCUCACCUCGGGAUGCACCAACCUCGGACCCACAGAUGCUGCCUGGGGCUGGGAUUCUAACCCUAAUCCUGUCCAGACCCGAGAUCCCAAAACUCCUGCCCCAAAUCCCAAAGCUCCCACCCCAAAUUCCAAAGUUCCCACCCCCAAAUCCCAAACCUCCUACCCCAAAUCCCAAAGCUCUCACCCAAAACCUCCUACCCCAAAUCUCAAAGCUCCCAUCCCAAAGUUCCCAUCCAAAUUCCAACCUCCAAAUCCCAACCUCUCACUCCAAGCCUUGUACCCCCAAAUUCCAAAGCUCUCACCCCAAAUCCCACAUUUUCCACCCCACACCUCCUACCCUCAAAUCCCAAACUUCCCAUACAAAUGCCAACCUCCUACCCUAAAUCCCAAACUUCCUACCCCCAAAUUCCAAACAUCUCACCCUAAUGCCAAAUCUUCUACCCUAAAUUCCAAAUCUCCCACCCCAAACCUCCUACCCCCAAAUCCCAAAGCUCCCACCCCAAUCCCAAAACAUCCUCCCCCAAGUUCCAAUUCUCCUGUCCCAAACAUCCCAUUUUAAAUCCCAAUCUCCCACCCCCAAAUCCCUUCCUCCCACCCCCAAAUCCCAAACCUCCCACUCCAAAACCUCCCACCUGCAUCCCACCCUCCCACCCCAAAUCACAGAACUGUAGGGUUCAGAAGGGACCUAGAGCUGGAUUCCAAAUCCCAAAGCUCCCACCCCAAGCCCUUUUUGCAGCACCCCCUCCCCACCCCCCCAGGGUUUAUCAUUGCUCUGCAUCCAUUUCCACACCCCUGGAACCCCCCCAGGUGCCAGCACUGGGGACCCUACCCCAUGUUUCACCCCAUACACCUCCCUCCCGGAUCAGGGUCCACCCACCCCAUAUCCCCCCUGUUGCAGGGACAGCCGGGUCCCCCCAACCCCUCACUGGGGCCACUGCCACUAUUUAUUGUGUCGCCCUGAGAGCAGAGCCUGGGGACAGCCCUGUGCCCCAACCUAAAGGGGGGGUUUGGGGGGAGGUUCCGAGCUGCCUCCCCUCCCCAUUUCGGGGUCAGGCCGGUGGGCGGCGUGGUACUUCUCUUUUGUAAAGUGGUUUCUUUGUACUGUUCACUGACACCUGCUUCUUUGGUUCCUCCACCAUCUCUGUGACGUUUCUGUGUCCUGUCAAAUAAAUUAUUCUAGUUUAUUAAUCUCUGAACA